This 576-nucleotide ribosomal RNA is filed under the name uncultured bacterium. RNAcentral describes it as "bacterial SSU rRNA". It matches the Rfam family "Bacterial small subunit ribosomal RNA", at positions 102 to 674 of the family's 1533-position model. The record is from RNAcentral.
ACGGGUGAGUAAUACAUCGGAACGUAUCCUGGAGUGGGGGAUAGCCCGGCGAAAGCCGGAUUAAUACCGCAUACGCUCUGAGGAGGAAAGCGGGGGACCUUCGGGCCUCGCGCUCAAGGGGCGGCCGAUGGCGGAUUAGGUAGUUGGUGGGGUAAAGGCCUACCAAGCCGACGAUCCGUAGCUGGUCUGAGAGGACGACCAGCCACACUGGGACUGAGACACGGCCCAGACUCCUACGGGAGGCAGCAGUGGGGAAUUUUGGACAAUGGGGGCAACCCUGAUCCAGCAAUGCCGCGUGUGUGAAGAAGGCCUUCGGGUUGUAAAGCACUUUUGUCCGGAAAGAAAUCAUCGGGGCCAAUACCCCUGGUGGAUGACGGUACCGGAAGAAUAAGCACCGGCUAACUACGUGCCAGCAGCCGCGGUAAUACGUAGGGUGCGAGCGUUAAUCGGAAUUACUGGGCGUAAAGCGUGCGCAGGCGGUGCUGUAAGACCGAUGUGAAAUCCCCGGGCUUAACCUGGGAACUGCAUUGGUGACUGCAGCGCUGGAGCAUGGCAGAGGGGGGUGGAAUUCCACGU